Long non-coding RNA from Suricata suricatta (meerkat), 459 nucleotides. RefSeq lists it as uncharacterized. Lineage: Eukaryota; Metazoa; Chordata; Mammalia; Carnivora; Herpestidae. The record is from RefSeq and is a predicted model, not a curated record. The transcript is spliced from 2 exons.
GGCGCCGCUGGGAAGCUGCCAAGCAGACGGCAGGACCCGGCCCCGCUGCCUCCGGGCGGCUCCCGGAAGCCGGGCGACUUCCCUGGCACACAGUCACCUGGCGGUGGACUCCCAGAGCAGACCUGGACGUGCAGUGCACUGACAUGGAUGGUACUCUACGUCCUGGCCUUCAAUCUGCUUUUCUCCACGUAUCUUUUCCUGUGCUGGCCACGUAGUCCUACUUCCCCUGUAAACUGAGGAAAACGGCAUCCAGAUUUGAUGGGGAUGUUAUACGGAUUAAAUAAGAUCUUCGUUCAGCGCUUCAACUGGGACAUGGCACAUAAUUAAAAACUUCAGUAAAUAUUAUCAGCUGCCCAAUAUUCUAUGGCACAUACAUGGCAUGAGCUACUCAGCAAACGCCCUCGUGGUAGAAGGUUCCGUUGUUUCCAAUUCUCACUAUCAUAAACAACACCACAAUAA